Molecule: ribosomal RNA, 402 nt
Filed under: uncultured bacterium
Lineage: Bacteria
Description: bacterial SSU rRNA
Rfam family: Bacterial small subunit ribosomal RNA
Source: RNAcentral
UGGGGAAUCUUGCACAAUGGAGGCAACUCUGAUGCAGCGACGCCGCGUGAGCGAUGAAGCCCUUCGGGGUGUAAAGCUCUUUCGUCAGGGAAGAUAAUGACGGUACCUGGAGAAGCAGCUGCGGCUAACUACGUGCCAGCAGCCGCGGUAAUACGUAGGCAGCAAGCGUUGUUCGGAGUUACUGGGCGUAAAGGGUGUGUAGGCGGUCCUCUAAGUUUGGUGUGAAAUCUCCCGGCUCAACCGGGAGGGUGCGCCGAAGACUGGGGGACUAGAGUAUCGGAUGGGAGAGUGGAAUUCCUGGUGUAGCGGUGAAAUGCGUAGAUAUCAGGAGGAACACCUGCGGUGUAGACGGCUCUCUGGACGAUAACUGACGCUGAGACACGAAAGCGUGGGUAGCAAACA